RNAcentral lists this unclassified non-coding RNA (346 nucleotides) under uncultured Orbiliales. Its description in RNAcentral is "sequence contains ITS1". The stretch from base 1 to 105 matches the Rfam family "5.8S ribosomal RNA", at positions 50 to 154 of the family's 154-position model. The record is from RNAcentral. Lineage: Eukaryota; Fungi; Ascomycota; Orbiliomycetes; Orbiliales.
GAAACGCGAUAGGUAAUGUGAAUUGCAGAAUUCCGUGAAUCAUCGAAUCUUUGAACGCACAUUGCGCCUUCUGGUAUUCCGGUAGGCAUAUCUGUUUGAGCGUCAGCAAAAACCCCUCAGCAAUUUAUUUUGUUGGUACUGGGUCGGGAGUAUAACCUGCCGUUCACCGGCAGGCCCUCCCGCCUUAAACUUGCUGCACGACCGCAAGCUAGGGCUAGGUUCAUGAAGUGGUGUUUACAUAUAUUUCAUAACGUAAGCCUUUGGCGAACGGCGUUAAAGCCGAUGUUUCUCUUCGGAGCAACUGAAGUUUGACUUCAAAUCAGAUAAGGAUACCCGCUGAACUUAA